RNAcentral lists this ribosomal RNA (462 nucleotides) under uncultured bacterium. Its description in RNAcentral is "partial 16S ribosomal RNA". It matches the Rfam family "Bacterial small subunit ribosomal RNA", at positions 28 to 507 of the family's 1533-position model. The record is from RNAcentral.
GACGAACGCUGGCGGCGUGCUUAACACAUGCAAGUCGAACGGAAAGGCCCUACGGGGUACUCGCGUGGGGAAGGGGCGGGUAACACGUGGGUGAUUUGAUCAGCACUCUGUGAUAAGCCUGGGAAACUGGGUCUAAUACCGUAUAGGACCACGAUCUUCUUGACGUGUGGGGGCAAGCGUUUGCGGCGUGGGAUGGGUCCGAGGCCGAUCAGCUCGUUAGUGGGGUAAUGGCUUACCAAGGCGACGACGGGUCGCCGGCCUGAGAGCGUGGCCGCCCACACUGGGCCUACGGUACGCCCCAGUCUCCUACGGGAGGCAGCGGUCGAGAGCAUUACGCAGUGGGCGCAAGCGUGUUGCGGCGGCCUCGCGUGCGUAAUGACCUCCUACGGGUGGAGAACCUCUUUGUCCAGAAACGAGGCGUAAGUGACGGUACCUGAUGAGGAAGCACCGGCCAACUACGUG